Molecule: long non-coding RNA, 2843 nt
Organism: Paramormyrops kingsleyae
Lineage: Eukaryota; Metazoa; Chordata; Actinopteri; Osteoglossiformes; Mormyridae
Source: RefSeq, a predicted model, not a curated record
GCCACCGAGGCUGUGAAUUGAUCUGGCCGUCUUUCGACCGCCUUAUGCCGGCUAGCGUGAGUGAUGCCCCGCCGCUAAGUCUGGAGAGUGUGGAUCUGUCAAUUAGGCCUUUUCUAUCCAACCUAAAACUGAUUUCACCUCGGUCAAAAACCGCCCCUGGGAGAGAAGCCUAGAGUCACCGAUGGGACUGUCUAUCCAUCUGUCUUCCUGUAGGGGGUCAUGCAGUGUUGGGAUGGCAUUGUCACAAAACACUAGACCAGCAACACCCAUAAACUCCUCAGAGGGCUUCAUCUGCUAUCUUUCAAUAUGAGUAUGUGUCUGAUGCUGGCCAAUGCCUUAUACUGCCUGUGGCAUUUGAAACCAUCUGUCAGUGUAGAAUACCCAUGUGCCUUUAGUGCGCAGACCAAAAACUAAUCUUCGGAUACCAACAAGAGGGAGAGCUUAUGAAUAAAAGGGAGAAAAACAUGGCAAUGCAGCAUGCUAUCAGUUUUCAUACUUACUAUAAUGCCUCAAUAUGCUUGAUCAUUUGUAUCAGCCUUGACAGAGUGAGGACAGAGAGAUUGAGUAAGAAUAAUAAUUAGUAAUUAAAAAAAUAUAACAAGAGUUUCUGAUGAAUGAUGAUUAGGGGUCAACACCAUGGCACAUUUUGAGAGACAUUGUGCUCAAAAUGCAAUUUUACCACAGGCAUGGUAUUUAAAAACAUAACCAACAUAGUUUUAGUUUUUUGCCACAGACGCAGAUGAGUCUUGCCACAGAUCUGUCUUUUGACAGACAGGUUGACAAUCACUGAUGAUGAUGCAUGCAUCCUUACAAAAUAUAUGUUCAAAUAUUCACCAAAAUGUUUUUCCUUUCUUUAUUUUUUAAGGAAUGUUCUCCUACUUUGCCAUCUUUUGGCAGCAUUUAAAUGCAUCAUAUUAAUAAUGAAUGGAAGUGUGUUGGCUUCAUACUGUUAUUCUUUGACAGGCCAGGGCUGCUGCUGCAACCUUGACCUGUGAACCGUAGACUAAACAUCCCCUCAACAAAUCAUGUCCAGCCUCAAUGCCAGUGAAUUAAGUUAACCAGUGGUUUGUGGUACCUAAAACACUCGCUAAAACUGCUCUGUCAACAUUGUAUUACUUAAGUGAAAUAUCUCAUCAUUUUUGUAUGAGAAUUCUCAUUGUUCUUCUUCAAAUGGACUAGUAGCCCAUCUAGGGUGUCCCCUGCCUCUUCGUAUUUCCUGGAAUAGGCUCCAGGAUCAGCACAACAAUAUGUUGAAUCAGUGGUUUUGAACAAUAGACGGGUAGGUAGAUCUUGAAAUGGUGUGUAAUGACUUCUCAUUGUUCUAAAAGACGCAAAGAAUAUUAAACUAUUUUACUGGGACAGGUGCACGUAUGGUGCAAACACUUUUCCCUCAUGUUCCCAUAUUUCAGGAUAAUACUGCCCCUAUACACACUGCAAGUUGUUUUAAGUCAAACACCUUUCAUGGCCUCCACAGUCACCAUGCCUCUGCCCUCCAGUUCUCAAAGCUUUCUACAGAGGAACCGAAAGCAUCCUAACCAGCUGCACCACCAUCUGUUACGGGAACUGCAGAGUCUCAAAGUGCAAUUCCCCCAGUGAAUUGUGAAGGACGCAGAGAAGAUCAUAGGGACCUCUCUACCCUCCCUCAUAGACAUGUACCACAAACAGUGCAGCAGCAGAGCCCACUCCAUCACACGUGACCCCUCACAUCCAUCCAACAGCCUGUUCACCCUGCUUCCAUCUGGAAAAAGGCUUAGGAGCCUUUGGUUUACCUCCACCAGGUUCUGCAACAGUUGUUUUCUCCCAAGCUAUCAGACAUCUCAGCUCCCACCUACCCCAUAAAUGUUGAUAAAUGCACAUUUGCCUAACACUGUUCCUAUUAUUUGGCCAGUCUGUCUACAAGCACUGUUUAGUGGUAUUAUAUGCACUGUGUCAUUGUUGGUGUCAUUGUUGAGUAUUGUUGUGUACGUAAAAACAUAAGAAAUUUACAAAUGAGAGGAGGCCAUUUGGCCCAUCAAACUCAUUUGGGGAGAACUUAACUAAUAACUCAGUUUUUUAAAUUUUAUUUUCAAUUUAAUUAUUUUAUUUCUGUUUAUUUAACUAUUCAUUAUUCUCCCACAGUAUUUACUGUUUGAUUUUUGUUUCUCAGCUUUUCCUAGUUCUGUAUAUCACUCUGUAGAUACGCAGUUUCAUUUCAUGUGUGUAAAAUGACAAUACAGUGACUUGGCCAGAUCGAAACAUCAUUGGACCCUUAUGGGAAGCCUUAAAGGAACAUCUUUUGAAUAAUGGUCCAGUAUAUUCAUUGUUCAGGACUUGUAUAACAGCAUUCCAGGAAAUAUUGAAGCUCUUUUGAAAGCAAAGUGCUUGCUCAUUGUCUGGUCCUUUAUUAAUAAAAUGUUCAGUGUUUUUUAUGAUUUUGUCACCCCCCCAUAUAUUUGUAUAUUUGCUUUGUUUGAUGUGGUUGGAAAUUUUGCUGGAAGGUGCUUCUGUUGCAUGGCUACUUGCAGACAGUCCCUUUGCUCAGGCCAUCGGGUUGCUUAACAACCAAUGACCUGCAUCCAUUCCCCCACUGCACUUUAUUGCAAACUGUGGUUAAUAUUCCAAUUUUGCACUUUAUCAAUAAUUUACUAUACUGUGGUCCAUCGCACAUCAUUAUCCCCAUUGCAUCACAUAUUUAUUACUUAUUUAUUGUUUAUUCAUUUAUUUUUGUACUGAACUUUCUUCCACUGCCUUAUCUUUAUUGCAGUACUGUCAUCCCCACAAUGCAUUGCUGUUUGUCCUAUAUGUCCCAUGCUCCUGUCCCCUACCCCGUAACUCUUAUAAAAAUUUCACUGUAUUCCUUUGAA